GUCAGAAGCGCACCUCCACCCGCAGCUGCCCCCCUCCCGAGCCCAGCGCGGAGCAGCCGGGUUUGAGGAUGUCAGCGAGCAGCCAAUCAGCGCCCGCGGCCUAAGGUGGCUCCCCUGGGAGAGUGGGCCGCGCCACAGACUCAGGACGCCCGAGAUGCAGGACGCGGGCGCGGGCGGGGUGAUGUGAGGCCCCGGCUUGCACUCCUGGGCAUCAGGCGGGUUCCGUGCAGCUGCCUCAACCUUGUGUCGAGACACGGAAGGCUGCAAACGGCAGGGUGAUGUCACUGAGUCCUUCCUGGCCUGGCCCACCAGCACCCCAAGAUCACAGGUGCCACCUGUGGGGCGGUAAGGGGUUUUCCCUGUCCCAGUAGUUCCUCCUGUCUUAGUCAUCUCUAGUUCCCCAAGGGCAUUUUGGAAAGGGAUUUGGGGUCAAAGUCCUUUAGAAGGGAGGGGACAACAGAAAAAUGGGCUGGGGGCACCCCUGGCCAGCUGCCUGUUAUCUCUGAGCCUCCUCUGUGCCAUCCGAGGUGGAGACAAUACUUUAUAUCUCAUAGGGAGUUGUCAGCGUUAAAUGAGAACCGUGCUGACAGAACGCCAGACUGAGGAUGGCGAAUAAUAAAUACUGGGUUUCUUUCUUCUCCUCUUAGGGGCUGAGGAGUAAGUGGCUGUCUUGGGUUGCUUUUUCUGCUCCUGUCAGCCUCAGCUAAGCAGCUCCUCAGGCGCCCAGGAGCCUCUGCCAGAAGGAUUUGUUCAGGAAAAUCUUGUUUGACACCCCAACUUGAGACCCACCUCAAAAUCUCCUUUUCGGCGAGACCCUCAGCCCCAUCCUCCUAGCUGCUCCCCCACCUUGUUCCUCUGGGCCUCUUACUCCACUUUAUUUUUCUGCAUAGCCCUAAACACUGACCUUGUAUUUCAUAUAUUCCAUAUUGAAUGUGUCUGUUAAGUUGCCCAUUUAAUGUUGUCUCUUUCCUACUCGAAAAUCUCAGUUCUGCUGAAGGCCCAACACCCAGAGCGGGAUCUGGCCCAGGCCCCUAAUAAACGCCACCGAUGACUGGCUGAGGGAGUAAGGGGGGAGGCAGCGGCUGAGGCCUCAGAUGGGGGACCAUUGUCUGAGGUCCUUAUGGCCCUUUGGGGUCCCCAUCUUGACAUCUUGGCACCUAGAAUUCGCCACUCCCCCCUAGCUACCCUACUCCGGCUUUGGCACCUGCUUCCCCCUCAGAUGACACCUGCACUGCCCCAAGCGGGCUGAGAUCAGGGGUUGGCAGCCUGUCGGGAAGUUACCACAACACAGGACACCUGGGGCUUGGUGGGCCUCGUGCUGCCAGCCCCCAUCUCUGCCCCCUCUUUCCCUCCCCCACUUUCCGUUUCUUCCAACUCUUCAGUCUUUUUCCAUCCUUCAUUAUUCUGCCUUUGCCUCCAAGCCCUGAGCCCACACCCAGACAUGACGGGCCUGCCUGAGGCCUUGGGGCUCUAACCCAAGGCCCAUUCCUGCCCGGGGAAGUGCUUUUUCCUUGAGGAAGUCGAGCCAGACCUCUGCGUGGCUGUCUGUGCGUGGCUGAUGUAGUUUCUCUUGGUCCCAGUGUUCUUUCCAUUCCCCAGUGGGUGAGACAUAACCAGGAAGGGGAGCCCCAGAUGCAACCCAGGAACCAUCUCUGCUUUCUUCUGUCUCCAACCUCAGCCAGGCUGUGGCCCCCUUUCACCUGGGCUUCAGGGCAGGAAAGUGUUUCCGUUUUUCCCAUCACCCACAAACACAUACUUUCCGCCUGCUGUGGGCAAAGCCUGAGGCCAAGCUCUGGGGGAGGAAUGGUCCAUCCUCAAGGGGACCCCAGGAGCACAGUAGGUGCUCUAUGUGCACAGGGUGGGGGGAUGGCUCAUUCAUUCAACACAUUUUUAUAGAGCACAGGGUAAGCGCUGAUGACCAAAAACUGUCCAGGCCUUGCCAUCUGUGGGAGACACAGUUUUCCAACAGAAGAUCAAAUAAAUAUUUCCUUUAAACCAA
This is a long non-coding RNA of Aethalodelphis obliquidens (Pacific white-sided dolphin), 1999 nucleotides long. RefSeq lists it as uncharacterized. NCBI's taxonomy places the organism in Eukaryota, Metazoa, Chordata, Mammalia, Artiodactyla, Delphinidae. The transcript is spliced from 2 exons. The record is from RefSeq and is a predicted model, not a curated record.